This 233-nucleotide unclassified non-coding RNA is filed under the name Hevea brasiliensis (rubber tree). The record is from RNAcentral. Lineage: Eukaryota; Viridiplantae; Streptophyta; Magnoliopsida; Malpighiales; Euphorbiaceae.
GAGUGGUUGGAGUGUCUUUGUUAGCUCUAAGAGGCUUGUUGCUGGAGAUGCCUUUAUUUUCUUAAGGGGAGAGAAUGGUGAACUGCGUGUUGGUGUUAGAAGAGCAAUGAGGCAGCAGAGCAAUGUUCCAUCUUCUGUCAUUUCCAGCCACAGCAUGCACCUUGGUGUCCUUGCCACUGCAUGGCAUGCUGUCAAUACAGGGACCUUGUUCACAGUCUAUUACAAGCCAAGGG